This 474-nucleotide ribosomal RNA is filed under the name Babesia ovis. RNAcentral's name for it is "SSU rRNA". It matches the Rfam family "Eukaryotic small subunit ribosomal RNA", at positions 512 to 1026 of the family's 1831-position model. RNAcentral also lists the same sequence under 1 other name. Lineage: Eukaryota; Apicomplexa; Aconoidasida; Piroplasmida; Babesiidae. The record is from RNAcentral.
UGAUGGGAAUUUAAACCUCUUCCAGAGUAUCAAUUGGAGGGCAAGUCUGGUGCCAGCAGCCGCGGUAAUUCCAGCUCCAAUAGCGUAUAUUAAAAUUGUUGCAGUUAAAAAGCUCGUAGUUGAAUUUCUGCUGCAUUGCUUGUGUCCCUCUGGGGUCUGUGCAUGUGGCUUUUUUCGGACGGAGUUUCUUUGUCUGAAUGUUUACUUUGAGAAAAUUAGAGUGCUCAAAGCAGGCUUUCGCCUUGAAUAGUUUAGCAUGGAAUAAUAAAGUAGGACUUUGGUUCUAUUUUGUUGGUUUUAGGUACCAAAGUAAUGGUUAAUAGGAACAGUUGGGGGCAUUCGUAUUUAACUGUCAGAGGUGAAAUUCUUAGAUUUGUUAAAGACGAACUACUGCGAAAGCAUUUGCCAAGGAUGUUUUCAUUAAUCAAGAACGAAAGUUAGGGGAUCGAAGACGAUCAGAUACCGUCGUAGUCC